RNAcentral lists this ribosomal RNA (462 nucleotides) under Penicillium sp. RNAcentral's name for it is "partial large subunit ribosomal RNA". It matches the Rfam family "Eukaryotic large subunit ribosomal RNA", at positions 38 to 504 of the family's 3401-position model. Lineage: Eukaryota; Fungi; Ascomycota; Eurotiomycetes; Eurotiales; Aspergillaceae. The record is from RNAcentral.
GCAUAUCAAUAAGCGGAGGAAAAGAAACCAACAGGGAUUGCCCUAGUAACGGCGAGUGAAGCGGCAAGAGCUCAAAUUUGAAAGCUGGCUCCUUCGGGGUCCGCAUUGUAAUUUGCAGAGGAUGCUUCGGGAGCGGUCCCCGUCUAAGUGCCCUGGAACGGGCCGUCAUAGAGGGUGAGAAUCCCGUAUGGGACGGGGUGUCCGCGCCCGUGUGAAGCUCCUUCGACGAGUCGAGUUGUUUGGGAAUGCAGCUCUAAAUGGGUGGUAAAUUUCAUCUAAAGCUAAAUAUUGGCCGGAGACCGAUAGCGCACAAGUAGAGUGAUCGAAAGAUGAAAAGCACUUUGAAAAGAGAGUUAAAAAGCACGUGAAAUUGUUGAAAGGGAAGCGCUUGCGACCAGACUCGCCUACGGGGUUCAGCCGGCAUUCGUGCCGGUGUACUUCCCCGUGGGCGGGCCAGCGUCG